This is a long non-coding RNA of Homo sapiens (human), 364 nucleotides long. RefSeq lists it as uncharacterized. The record is from RefSeq and is a predicted model, not a curated record. The transcript has 3 exons. Lineage: Eukaryota; Metazoa; Chordata; Mammalia; Primates; Hominidae.
GUGAUCCUCCCGCCUCAGCCUCCUAAGUAGCUGGGACUACAGUUUAAUCAUUGGGAUACUGCUUCAGCAUUUUCUCCAAGAAGUUCAUUCACAAGGCUAGGCCAAGAGGGAGGCAGAGCAAGACAGCUGGAUAGAAGCCUCCACCAAUCACCCUGCUCACAGCAACACCAAAAUGAACAAUUAUCCAUAAAAAAAAAAGGAACUUAACAAGAACCAAAAGUCAGCACCUGAAAGCAGGGAGGAGACAGUACAGUGAGGAAAAGCAUCUGACAAGGCCAGCUGGGGCAGAGGAUGGGAAGGAUGGAGACACCUUGGUUUGGAAGGCUAGGAAGCAGGCAAAGACUGGCUGUCACUUCAAAUCACU